CCUACGGGUGGCAGCAGUGAGGAAUAUUGGUCAAUGGGCGAGAGCCUGAACCAGCCAAGUCGCGUGAGGGAGUACUGCCCUAUGGGUUGUAAACAUCUUUUGUCGGGGAGCAAAAGCCGGACGUGUCCGGCUGUGAGAGUACCCGAAGAAAAAGCAUCGGCUAACUCCGUGCCAGCAGCCGCGGUAAUACUGAGGAUGCGAGCGUUAUCCGGAGGUAUUGGGUUUAAAGGGUGCGCAGGAGGAUUUUUAAGUCAGCGGUAAAAUAGUGGGGCUCAACCCCAGCCGGACGUUGACACUGGGGAUCGUGAUUGGGCGAGAGGUAUGCGGAAUGCGUGGUGUAGCGGUGAAAUGCAUAGAUAUCACGCAGAACCCCGAUUGCGAAGGCAGCAUACCGGUGCCCAACUGACGCUGAGGCACGAAAGCGUGGGUAUCGAACAGGAUUAGAUACCCUGGUAGUC
This 458-nucleotide ribosomal RNA is filed under the name uncultured bacterium. Its description in RNAcentral is "partial 16S ribosomal RNA". It matches the Rfam family "Bacterial small subunit ribosomal RNA", at positions 338 to 795 of the family's 1533-position model. The record is from RNAcentral.